UACGUAGGGUGCAAGCGUUGUUCGGAAUUACUGGGCGUAAAGGGCGCGUAGGCGGCCUUCUAAGUCGAACGUGAAAUCCCUGGGCUCAACCCAGGAACUGCGUCCGAUACUGGAAGGCUUGAAUCCGGGAGAGGGAUGCGGAAUUCCAGGUGUAGCGGUGAAAUGCGUAGAUAUCUGGAGGAACACCGGUGGCGAAGGCGGCAUCCUGGACCGGUAUUGACGCUGAGGCGCGAAAGCCAGGGGAGCAAACGGG
This 253-nucleotide ribosomal RNA is filed under the name uncultured bacterium. Its description in RNAcentral is "partial 16S ribosomal RNA". It matches the Rfam family "Bacterial small subunit ribosomal RNA", at positions 524 to 776 of the family's 1533-position model. The record is from RNAcentral.